Non-coding RNA from Arvicanthis niloticus (Nile rat), 634 nucleotides. The record is from RefSeq and is a predicted model, not a curated record. Lineage: Eukaryota; Metazoa; Chordata; Mammalia; Rodentia; Muridae.
AUGGGGCCCAGCCAGAAUGGCAUGAUCCUGAUGCCCCACUUCCACAAGGAUUGGCAGCAGAAAGUGGACACAUGGUUCAACCAGGCGGCUCACAAGAUCCACAGACACGGGGCCUGGCAGGGGAAAGCGUGCCACAUUGCCCCUCGUCCCAUAUCCUGUCCCAUCAAGCCCAUCGUAAGGUGCCCUACAGUUAGAUACCACACCAAGGUCCGGGCUGGAGGGAGCUUCUGCCUGAAGGAACUCAGGGUGGCUGGUAUCCACAAAAAAAUGGCUCGUACCAUCGGCAUCUCUGCGGACCCAAGAAGGGGAAACAAAUCCAGAGUCACUGCAGGCCAAUGUGCAGCGCCUGAAGGAGUACGGCUCCAAGCUCAUACUUUUCCCCAGGAAGCCUUCUGCUCCAAAGAAGGGAGACAGUUCUGCUGAAGAACUUAAACUGGCUACCCAGAUGACAGGACCUGUUAUGCCCAUCCAGAAUGCGUACAAAAAGGAAAAGGCCAGAGUCAUCAUGGAAGAAGAGAAGAACUUUAAGGCUUUCGCCAGUCUCUGAAUGGCCCAUGCCAAUGGCUGGCUCUUUGGCAUCCGAGCAAAAAGAGCGAAGGAAGCUGCAGAGCAGGAUGCUGAGAAGAAAAAGUAA